CAAGUGUUUGGAUUUCAAAUCUUUCAAUCCAUAUAUCAAAAGAAAGAUCUACGAGUCUAGUUUCCAAUGAAAUCAGUUUUGAACAAAUCAAAGUUUCCAACAAAGACUUAUAGGCAGCUCGGUAUCAAAAGGUCAGAAUCUCAAAAGUUGCACAGAUUCGAACUAAACAAGAGAUAUAUCAAAUGCAAGGCUAGAACAAUUCAAAGUUCCUCAUAUUCAAAUCAAAUGUAGAGAUAAAAUUACAGUAAGGAAAGAUCAAGACACUUGCAAUAGGAAAGAUUAGAAAGCUUGCGAUAGGAAGGAACAGAACACUUGCAAUAGGAAAGAUAAGAACACUUGCACAAGGAAGAUCAUAAUACUUGCAAUAAGAAAAAUUAGAACAAUUACAGAAGAAACGAUCGGGAAACUUGCCUUUCAAAGAUUUUGAUCUGAAGAUCCAAAGAAGGUGUCAGCCCAAAUUCUUCUGCUUUUCCUCUGUGUCCUCUCCCUGUUUCGUUUUCUACAUGUCUUCUCUUUUUCCUCCACAACUGCAGCUCAUGCAGAACAUAGAGGCAUAGUCACCUGCUCUCUCUUACUCUCAUUCCUCCGUUUUCUUUUUCAAACACAACUGUCGCAGUCAUCGUCGCCGCCACUACCACAGUCGUAGCCACGACCUGCGGUCACAACCGCAGCCCCUUCCACUACACUAUUUCC
RNAcentral lists this long non-coding RNA (693 nucleotides) under Musa acuminata (dwarf banana). RNAcentral describes it as "long non-coding RNA (MACU_LNC005599)". Lineage: Eukaryota; Viridiplantae; Streptophyta; Magnoliopsida; Zingiberales; Musaceae. The record is from RNAcentral.